AUUGAACGCUGGCGGCAGGCCUAAAACAUGCAAGUCGAGCGAGCGGCGGAAGGGUGAGUAAUGCCUGGGAAUUGCACAGUCGAGGGGGAUAAAAGGUGGAAACGACUGCUAAUACCGCAUACGAUGGGAUAGCCGAGGUGGGAUUAGCUAGGUGGUGAGGUAAUGGCUCACCAAGGCGAAGAUCCCUAGCUGGUCUGAGAGGAUGAUCAGCCACACUUGAACUGAGACACGGUCCAUACUCCUACGGGAGGCAGCAGUGGGGAAUAUUGCACAAUGGGGGAACCCCUGAUGCAGCCAUGCCGCGUGUGUGAAGAAGGCCUUCGGGUUGUAAAGCACUUUCAGCGAGGAGGCGUUACUCGCAGAAGAAGCCCCGGCUCACUCCGUGCCAGCAGCCGCGGUAAUAC
Molecule: ribosomal RNA, 404 nt
Filed under: uncultured bacterium
Lineage: Bacteria
Description: partial 16S ribosomal RNA
Rfam family: Bacterial small subunit ribosomal RNA
Source: RNAcentral